AACAACUUGACUUUUUAGGUGGGAACUCGACCUCCAAAAGAAAAUCUCUUUUAAGUUCUGUAUUAUAAAAUACUGAUUCACUCCCCUAUUUUUUGUCAGCUGGACUUGUGGAAAGAGUUGUUCUACUUGGAGCACCCAUUGCAAUUAAAGAAAUGAACUGGGAAGCUACUCGGCAGGGAUUGUUGCUUUACCUUCUGCAUUCAUAUUCACAAAUAUUGAUAUUGUAUCAAUAAUAGGCACAUAUGCAUCAGUUACUGUUAUUGCAUAUGUUUAACAUUCUCUAUUAUGCAGGUGGUGGCUGGAAGGUUUGUGAAUGCAUAUUCUACCAACGAUUGGAUACUUGGAAUUGCGUUUCGUGCCAAGUAUGCAAGUCUUAAAUCUACUGUGAAAAUAUUAGGAUUGUGAAAUUGAUAGGUAGAUCACAUCUUGCUUUUGAAGUUGAGAUUUGUGCCUAACUGUGUCAAUAGAAGUAUCAAAACAAAAGAAGAAGUGAAUUUUUUUUGUCCAUUCUUUUGCUUAUUGAUUUUCGAUGUUGCCCUUUGCCUAUAACAGUCUUCUGACACUAGGAUUGGCAGGAAUUCAACCAGUGGAAGUGCCUGGAAUUGAAAAUGUAAAUAUUAUUCGUAAUGCUGGUCAACAUAGCGUAACAUAUGUUUGGGAUUUCAACCUUUAUCUCUCCAUUGUUUUUGACAGGUUAACGUAACUAGCAUAAUUGAUGGUCACUCUUUUAUCUUUGGAAUGCCCAGGAAAUCCUAGAACAGCUCGAACCGAUUUUCAGUCCUCCCCCUGUCAAAACAUAGUUUGUACUGAAAUUCUGGCAUAGAGUGCAAUUGCAUCAGAGGCUUUGUUCUUGUCGGAAAUGGAGGUUUGGAUCUAAUUUUAAGUGUUACCGUAGUCGGCUUGUGUAUUCUUGAACCGAGGAUAUUUCAUUAGUUACUGCUUGGUACUUCUAUAAAUUUCAUUUUAUCCUCAUUCUUUGCGCAAUAUGAAUCAUAAGAAUUGAACAAAUGAAACAGGUAAACAGGUGGUAAUAUUGAAGAUCUGUACUUGCUCGUGUUACUGAGGAGAUGAAGAGUGGCUAUAAAAGUGCAAAACAAAUGCUGGAGUUCCCAUACGAGAAAUUAAGUAGAUGCCAUAUUUUUGGAACUGAUACAAAUCAACAUUGCCAAGAAUGUAGAAUGUAAAAUGAAUAAUGUUAAUUUACAUAAACAUAAAAUGUCACAACAUGUAGAACUUUUAGCUUCAAUGAUACUAUAGUAUACUUUUCUACACUAACAUGAAAGUAUUUUGCAC
Molecule: long non-coding RNA, 1293 nt
Filed under: Olea europaea subsp. europaea
Lineage: Eukaryota; Viridiplantae; Streptophyta; Magnoliopsida; Lamiales; Oleaceae
Source: RNAcentral